Molecule: long non-coding RNA, 843 nt
Organism: Cephus cinctus (wheat stem sawfly)
Lineage: Eukaryota; Metazoa; Arthropoda; Insecta; Hymenoptera; Cephidae
Exons: 3
Source: RefSeq, a predicted model, not a curated record
AGACCAAUCACAUUGCUCCAGGCGUGUCCGGAAGUGUUCGUCAUCCCAGUUUGAGAGAUCUCGAUGAGUGAUCAUGCGGGGUAAGAUCUUAGGGGGUUUAAUCCUUAGAACCACCCAAAUUAGAUCAUGAGCAGACAGGAAAGGAACCGGACACUGCCUAUGGGAGAUGACCUUGGAUGGGCUGUCAACGAUACAUAAGUCCAACCACGUGUGUGCGUUUCCUCUGUGAUGUGUGGGCGAAUACCGCACCAGAUGUAAAUCGUUCCUAGUGAUAAACGAGUGAAGCUGGGAACUGUCAAAGGUAGAUGAGGACGAUAUACAGCAGCAGCUAGCACUCGAGGAGCACCAGGGAUCAACACCUCAACAAAUAUGAAUUCCGGUCUGGAGCAAUAUUCGCUCUCCGAGGAGGCAAUAAUCCUUGCAGAAAGUGAUUGGUGAACAUAAAUUGCUACACCACCACCACCCCUGCCGACCCGAUCACACCGAUGUAGAACAUAGUCAUCAAGUUUUGCCGCAAGGUCAGUCAUAUAUGGUUUAAGCCAGGUUUCGGAAACCGCCAGUAUAUGAAAGAAGUUAUCUACUAUAUACUCUCUUAGUUCAUCAAUAUGUGCUAUGACUGAUUGAGCGUUUACAUGGCCCACCCGAAGCCCAACUGCCGGAUCGACAGGUAAGUUCGGAGAUGUUGCGGAAAGUUGUCAUAAGGUGGUAAUCUUCUCUAGGUCGUCCCGGCUCUCGAUGCGAAGCAGUGUAGAUGAUCCAGUCUUCCGCACCAGAAUGGUUCCACGGCGAGUCCACACCCACAAUUCUGGAUGAGGUUUUGCACGGGCACGUGCUUCACUAAGG